AUGCUCGUUCUUUCUGUUGGCUUCCUUUCCUUGUGUGUGGUUCCAGGUGAUGGCACUUCCGAGCACCACGUCUGUUGUGUCAACCCCGGGCUUCCUGGAGGGUCAAAGUGCUAUCGCCCUUCUGAGGUAGUUGCUGCUUCUUCAAGUGUUCCUCCAACUCAGUCCAAGACUCCUUCCAAGCAAGUUGCAAACAAGCCCAAGUCGAAGUCGAAGUCUAUGACAGAGAUGACUGCUAAGGAGUUCUGUGUGGCACGUCGCCGCAACUCGUAUGCUCAGAUCAAGAUCCAGCUCUUGUCAAUCGUCCCUUCUUGA
Molecule: ribosomal RNA, 312 nt
Filed under: Triticum aestivum (bread wheat)
Lineage: Eukaryota; Viridiplantae; Streptophyta; Magnoliopsida; Poales; Poaceae
Description: partial small subunit ribosomal RNA
Source: RNAcentral